GACGAACGCUGGCGGCGUGCUUAACACAUGCAAGUCGAACGGACAGGCCAUGCUUUUGUGGGGUGCUCGAGUGGCGAACGGGUGAGUAACACGUGAGUAUCCUGCCCUUGACUUUCGGAUAACUUCAGGAAACUGGGGCUAAUACCGGAUAGGAGAUCCUGCUGCAUGGUGGGGGUUAGAAAGUUUCGGCGGUUGGGGAUGGACUCGCGGCUUAUCAGCUUGUUGGUGGGGUAGUCGCUUACAAAGGGUUUGACGGGUAGCCGGCCUGAGAGGGUGACCGGCCUCAUGGGUACUGCGAUAGGGCCCAGACUCCUACGGUAGGCAGCAGUGGGGAGUAUGGCACAAUGGGCGGAAGCCUGAUGCAGCAACGCCGCGUGCGGGAUGACGGCUUUCUGGUUGUAAACCGCUUUCGCCGGUGACGAAGGGUGAGUGACGGUAAUGGGUAAAGAAGCACCGGCUAACUACGUG
This 468-nucleotide ribosomal RNA is filed under the name uncultured bacterium. RNAcentral describes it as "partial 16S ribosomal RNA". It matches the Rfam family "Bacterial small subunit ribosomal RNA", at positions 28 to 507 of the family's 1533-position model. The record is from RNAcentral.